This 253-nucleotide ribosomal RNA is filed under the name uncultured bacterium. Its description in RNAcentral is "partial 16S ribosomal RNA". It matches the Rfam family "Bacterial small subunit ribosomal RNA", at positions 524 to 776 of the family's 1533-position model. The record is from RNAcentral.
UACGUAGGGUGCGAGCGUUAAUCGGAAUUACUGGGCGUAAAGCGUGCGCAGGCGGUUUUGUAAGACAGGUGUGAAAUCCCCAGGCUUAACCUGGGAACUGCGCUUGUGACUGCAAGACUCGAGUACGGCAGAGGGGGGUGGAAUUCCACGUGUAGCAGUGAAAUGCGUAGAGAUGUGGAGGAACACCGAUGGCGAAGGCAGCCCCCUGGGUCGAUACUGACGCUCAUGCACGAAAGCGUGGGGAGCAAACAGG